UACGGAGGGUGCGAGCGUUGUCCGGAAUCAUUGGGCGUAAAGGGCGCGUAGGUGGCCCGGUCAGUUCGUGGUGAAAGCGCGGGGCUCAACCCUGCGUCGGCCAUGAAUACUGCCGCGGCUGGAGCACUGUAGAGGCAGGCGGGAAUUCCGGGUGUAGCGGUGGAAUGCGUUGAUAUCCUAAGGAACACCGGUGGCGAAAGCGGCUCACUGGAUCUCUUCUGACGCUGAGGCACGAAAGCUAGGGUAGCGAACGGGA
RNAcentral lists this ribosomal RNA (256 nucleotides) under uncultured bacterium. RNAcentral describes it as "partial 16S ribosomal RNA". It matches the Rfam family "Bacterial small subunit ribosomal RNA", at positions 524 to 777 of the family's 1533-position model. The record is from RNAcentral.